GACGAACGCUGGCGGCGUGCCUAAUACAUGCAAGUCGAGCGAGCGGAACCAACAGAUUUACUUCGGUAAUGACGUUGGGAAAGCGAGCGGCGGAUGGGUGAGUAGCACGUGGGGAACCUGCCCCUAAGUCUGGGAUACCAUUUGGAAACAGGUGCUAAUACCGGAUAAGAAAGCAGAUCGCAUGAUCAGCUUUUAAAAGGCGGCGUAAGCUGUCGCUAAGGGAUGGCCCCGCGGUGCAUUAGCUAGUUGGUAAGGUAACGGCUUACCAAGGCAACGAUGCAUAGCCGAGUUGAGAGACUGAUCGGCCACAUUGGGACUGAGACACGGCCCAAACUCCUACGGGAGGCAGCAGUAGGGAAUCUUCCACAAUGGACGCAAGUCUGAUGGAGCAACGCCGCGUGAGUGAAGAAGGUUUUCGGAUCGUAAAGCUCUGUUGUUGGUGAAGAAGGAUAGAGGUAGUAACUGGCCUUUAUUUGACGGUAAUCAACCAGAAAGUCACGGCUAACUACGUG
Molecule: ribosomal RNA, 512 nt
Filed under: uncultured bacterium
Lineage: Bacteria
Description: partial 16S ribosomal RNA
Rfam family: Bacterial small subunit ribosomal RNA
Source: RNAcentral